AACUUUCAGCAAUGGAUCUCUUGGUUCUCGCAUCGAUGAAGAACGCAGCGAAUUGCGAUAAGUAAUGUGAAUUGCAGAUUUUCAGUGAAUCAUCGAAUCUUUGAACGCACCUUGCGCUCCUUGGUAUUCCGAGGAGCAUGCCUGUUUGAGUGUC
This 154-nucleotide ribosomal RNA is filed under the name uncultured Boletaceae. RNAcentral describes it as "5.8S ribosomal RNA". It matches the Rfam family "5.8S ribosomal RNA". Rfam says of the family: 5.8S ribosomal RNA (5.8S rRNA) is a component of the large subunit of the eukaryotic ribosome. It is transcribed by RNA polymerase I as part of the 45S precursor that also contains 18S and 28S rRNA. The record is from RNAcentral. Lineage: Eukaryota; Fungi; Basidiomycota; Agaricomycetes; Boletales; Boletaceae.